Musa acuminata AAA Group (dessert banana) is the source of this 308-nucleotide RNA transcript. It is a transcript of the gene named ribosomal protein eL30 pseudogene, with no coding region annotated. The record is from RefSeq and is marked validated. Lineage: Eukaryota; Viridiplantae; Streptophyta; Magnoliopsida; Zingiberales; Musaceae.
CCUAGGGUUUUCCGCCGCGGCCACGGAGACCGUCUCCUCGCCCUUUGACACCUUCAAUCCUCGGCCAUGGCGCCCGUCAAGAAGGCGAAGAAGAGCACUGAGAGCAUAAACAACAGGCUCGCUCUCGUGAUGAAGAGCGGGAAGUACACCCUCGGGUACAAGACAGUCCUUAGAUCCCUCCGCAACUCCAAAGGGAAGUUAAUUAUAAUUGCUAAUAACUGCCCUCCACUUCGCAAGUCUGAAAUCGAGUAUUAUGCAAUGUUGGCAAAGGUUGGAGUACAUCAUUUCAGUGGCAGUAAGUACUUCUA